CUUCAUCGCCAUCAGUACUGCACAGCCACAUAAUUCACGAUCUUCAUCAUUCAAAUUGUAGUAUACUUCACAGGUGACCAUUGCCUUAUUGGGG
This is a long non-coding RNA of Phyllostomus discolor (pale spear-nosed bat), 94 nucleotides long. RefSeq lists it as uncharacterized. The record is from RefSeq and is a predicted model, not a curated record. Lineage: Eukaryota; Metazoa; Chordata; Mammalia; Chiroptera; Phyllostomidae. The transcript has 3 exons.